Molecule: ribosomal RNA, 309 nt
Filed under: uncultured bacterium
Lineage: Bacteria
Description: partial 16S ribosomal RNA
Rfam family: Bacterial small subunit ribosomal RNA
Source: RNAcentral
AGAGACAGCAGCAGCCGCGGGAAUACGUAGGUCCCGAGCGUUAUCCGGAUUUAUUGGGCGUAAAGCGAGCGCAGGCGGUUAGAUAAGUCUGAAGUUAAAGGCUGUGGCUUAACCAUAGUACGCUUUGGAAACUGUUUAACUUGAGUGCAGAAGGGGAGAGUGGAAUUCCUUGUGUAGCGGUGAAAUGCGUAGAUAUAUGGAGGAACACCGGUGGCGAAAGCGGCUCUCUGGUCUGUAACUGACGCUGAGGCUCGAAAGCGUGGGGAGCAAACAGGAUUAGAUACCCCUGUAGUCCCUGUCUCUUAUACA